GGUGAGCUGGCUGAGUGGUUGAAAGCAGCGGUCUUGAAAACCGCCGUAGGUUAAUAGCCUACCCGGGGUUCGAAUCCCUGGCUCACCG
RNAcentral lists this transfer RNA (88 nucleotides) under Hahella chejuensis KCTC 2396. It matches the Rfam family "tRNA". From Rfam's summary of the family: Transfer RNA (tRNA) molecules are approximately 80 nucleotides in length. Their secondary structure includes four short double-helical elements and three loops (D, anti-codon, and T loops). Further hydrogen bonds mediate the characteristic L-shaped molecular structure. tRNAs have two regions of fundamental functional importance: the anti-codon, which is responsible for specific mRNA codon recognition, and the 3' end, to which the tRNAs corresponding amino acid is attached (by aminoacyl-tRNA synthetases). tRNAs cope with the degeneracy of the genetic code in two manners: having more than one tRNA (with a specific anti-codon) for a particular amino acid; and 'wobble' base-pairing, i.e. permitting non-standard base-pairing at the 3rd anti-codon position. Lineage: Bacteria; Pseudomonadati; Pseudomonadota; Gammaproteobacteria; Oceanospirillales; Hahellaceae. The record is from Rfam by way of RNAcentral.